This 221-nucleotide ribosomal RNA is filed under the name uncultured archaeon. RNAcentral's name for it is "partial 16S ribosomal RNA". It matches the Rfam family "Archaeal small subunit ribosomal RNA", at positions 468 to 689 of the family's 1478-position model. The record is from RNAcentral.
CGGUAAUACCAGCUCUCCGAGUAGUGUGGAUGUUUAUUGGGCCUAAAGCAUCCGUAGCUUGCUAGGCAAGUCCCCUGUUAAAUCCACCGAUUCAAUCGAUGGUUUGCGGGGGAUACUGUUUGGCUAGGGGACGGGAGAGGUCGACGGUAUUUCCGGGGUAGGGGUGAAAUCCUAUGAUCCCGGGAGGACCACCAGUGGCGAAGGCUGUCGGCUAGAACGCG